AUUGAACGCUGGCGGCGUGCUUAACACAUGCAAGUCGUGCGGUAACAGGCGUAGCAAUACGUGCUGACGAGCGGCGAACGGGUGCGUAAUACAUGGGAAUCUGCCCUUUAGUGGGGAAUAACCCGGCGAAAGCCGGGCUAAUGCCGCAUAAGAUCUUCGGAUGAAAGCGGGGGAUCGUAAGACCUCGCGCUGAUGGAUGAGCCCAUGUCGGAUUAGCUAGNGGUGAGGUAACGGCUCACCAAGGCGACGAUCCGUAGCUGGUCUGAGAGGACGGCCAGCCACACUGGGACUGAGACACGGCCCAGACUCCUACGGGAGGCAGCAGUGGGGAAUAUUGGACAAUGGGCGCAAGCCUGAUCCAGCCAUGCCGCGUGAGUGACGAAGGUCUUCGGAUUUGUAAAACUUC
RNAcentral lists this ribosomal RNA (406 nucleotides) under uncultured bacterium. Its description in RNAcentral is "bacterial SSU rRNA". It matches the Rfam family "Bacterial small subunit ribosomal RNA", at positions 30 to 434 of the family's 1533-position model. The record is from RNAcentral.